This 338-nucleotide unclassified non-coding RNA is filed under the name soil metagenome. Its description in RNAcentral is "partial contains 5.8S ribosomal RNA, internal transcribed spacer 2, and large subunit ribosomal RNA". The stretch from base 1 to 120 matches the Rfam family "5.8S ribosomal RNA", at positions 35 to 154 of the family's 154-position model. The record is from RNAcentral.
GAUGAAGAACGCAGCGAAAUGCGAUAAGUAAUGUGAAUUGCAGAAUUCAGUGAAUCAUCGAAUCUUUGAACGCACAUUGCGCCCGCCAGCAUUCUGGCGGGCAUGCCUGUUCGAGCGUCAUUUCAACCCUCAAGCUCUGCUUGGUGUUGGGGCCCUACGGUUGACGUAGGCCCUUAAAGGUAGUGGCGGACCCUCUCGGAGCCUCCUUUGCGUAGUAACUAACGUCUCGCAUUGGGAUUCGGAGGGACUCUUGCCGUAAAACCCCCAAAUUUUCUAAUGGUUGACCUCGGAUCAGGUAGGAAUACCCGCUGAACUUAGGCAUAUCAAUAAGCGGAGGA